UGAACGCUGGCGGCGUGCCUAACACAUGCACGUCGAGCGGCAGCGAGGGGUGCUUGCACCCUGUCGGCGAGCGGCGGACGGCUGAGUAACGCGUGGGAACGUGCCCCAAAGUGAGGAAUAACUGCCCGAAAGGGUAGCUAAUACCGCAUAUUAUCUUCGGAUCAAAGGAUUUAUCCGCUUUGGGAGCGGCUCGCGUCGGAUUAGGUAGUUGGUGAGGUAAUGGCUCACCAAGCCGACGAUCCGUAGCUGGUCUGAGAGGAUGACCAGCCAGGCUGGAACUGAGACACAGUCCAGACUCCUACGGGAGGGAGCAGUGAGGAAUCUUCCACAAUGGGCGAAAGCCUGAUGGAGCAGCGCCGCGUGCAGGACGAAGGCCUUCGGGUUGUAAACUGCUUUUAUAAGUGAGGAAUAUGACGGUAACUUAUGAAUAAGGACCGGCUAACUACGUG
Molecule: ribosomal RNA, 449 nt
Filed under: uncultured bacterium
Lineage: Bacteria
Description: partial 16S ribosomal RNA
Rfam family: Bacterial small subunit ribosomal RNA
Source: RNAcentral